AAACAUAUGACACAAACACACACAUGAACAUGGAAGAAAACUUAGUAUGCCCAGGUCCAAAGGGCGUGAUCUUCCUCAGAAAAUCCAAAAUUACAAGAACUUUCAGGCGGGUCGGAGUAAUCCACAUCUUCUUCAAGUUUGGGAAAGAGGUACGAAGGGUAGAGACUUUUGCUGAGGUUAUCUUCUUCAUCUUGUGACAUAUCCGAUUGAUCAUGCUCAAACACAUAAGAAGAAUCACCAUGCUCUAGCAGUGCGGAGUUAACUCCAUCGGUGUAAUGUGGACUAUCUGAAUCCAAAAUAUCACUCCUGGCUGAACUGAUAUCUUC
Molecule: long non-coding RNA, 326 nt
Filed under: Glycine max (soybean)
Lineage: Eukaryota; Viridiplantae; Streptophyta; Magnoliopsida; Fabales; Fabaceae
Description: long non-coding RNA (GMAX_LNC003848)
Source: RNAcentral